UAGGAUACAUUUAAUGGGGCUUGUUCUA
RNAcentral lists this small RNA (28 nucleotides) under Bombyx mori (domestic silkworm). RNAcentral's name for it is "ovarian small RNA-22672". The record is from RNAcentral. Lineage: Eukaryota; Metazoa; Arthropoda; Insecta; Lepidoptera; Bombycidae.